UUUGGGGGAAUGAAAAGCUUCGGCUGACUAUGUUAGUAUGCAUUAAUGCAAAAAAAAUUAAUGAUUAAAAUGUUAAAAAAAAAUUUUUUUUAAUAUUGCUAACGGUUUAGUGACUUUGUCACCUAAAGUUCUAGAUAGAAUACUGAUUAUGACAAUUUACUAUCUAUGUGUCUUGACCAAAUUACGUGCCAGCAGUCGCGGUAAUACGUAGAAGACUAGUGUUAUUCAUCUUUAUUAGGUUUAAAGGGUACCUAGACGGUUUAAUUAGUCCAAAGUAGGAUACGGUUAAACUAGAGUUAUAUUUAAGAAGGUGAGUAUUUGUGGAGUAGAGUUGAAAUUCUGUGAUACCACGAGGACUGGUAAGGGCGAAAGCAACCUUCUAUCUAAUAACUGACGUUGAGGGACGAAGGCUCGGGUCGCAAAGAGGAUUAGAUACCCUAGUAGUCCAAGCAGAUAAUGAUGAAUGCCAUAGAUUAGAUAAUAUUUAGUUUAUAAACGAAAGUGCAAGCAUUCCACCUCAAGAGUAAUGUGGCAACACAGGAACUGAAAUCAUUAGACC
Molecule: ribosomal RNA, 559 nt
Filed under: Neofabraea krawtzewii
Lineage: Eukaryota; Fungi; Ascomycota; Leotiomycetes; Helotiales; Dermateaceae
Description: partial small subunit ribosomal RNA
Rfam family: Bacterial small subunit ribosomal RNA (bases 119-559)
Source: RNAcentral